RNAcentral lists this ribosomal RNA (374 nucleotides) under uncultured bacterium. RNAcentral's name for it is "partial 16S ribosomal RNA". It matches the Rfam family "Bacterial small subunit ribosomal RNA", at positions 338 to 710 of the family's 1533-position model. The record is from RNAcentral.
CCUACGGGUGGCAGCAGUGAGGAAUAUUGGUCAAUGGCCGAGAGGCUGAACCAGCCAAGCCGCGUGAAGGACGAAUGUGCCAAGCAUUGUAAACUUCUUUUGUCAAGGGACAAAAUGAGGCUCGAGAGCCUGACCGCAGGUACUUUAUGAAAAAGCAUCGGCUAACUCCGUGCCAGCAGCCGCGGUAAUACGGAGGAUGCGAGCGUUAUCCGGAUUUAUUGGGUUUAAAGGGUGCGUAGGCGGGUUGUUAAGUCAGGGGUAAAAGCCCGGGGCUCAACCCCGGCGAGCCGUUGAAACUGGUUGUCUUGAGAUGUCGAGAGGUAUGCGGAAUGCGCAGUGUAGCGGUGAAAUGCUUAGAUAUUGCGAAGAACACC